Molecule: non-coding RNA, 1033 nt
Organism: Cricetulus griseus (Chinese hamster)
Lineage: Eukaryota; Metazoa; Chordata; Mammalia; Rodentia; Cricetidae
Source: RefSeq, a predicted model, not a curated record
CGAAGGACCACCAGUCGACAGAAUGGUUGUAUUUCUGGCCCAGCAAGAUCUGCAUGACCAACAGGCAGAAGCAUCAUCAAUACAUGGGUCUGAUGACUGAUAACACUUCCAAGUCUGGAGCAGCUUCUUCUGCUGUUGGAAUGCCAAGGAUGUGGAAGCCACUGUGUCAUCGCACAUCAUCCCAACACCAACAGGCCUCAGGCUUUGCUAAAACAGUGCAUAGUGGGAUCCACGACUGCAUGGAUGACUGAAGAUGAUGUGGUGGGUCCUUUGCUUGCUGUUCUGUGAUGGAGAGGGCAGUGGAGCUGGACUGGGUAGAGGGUCGGUCCCCUUUCCUAGCUCUACUUACUCCAAGAACUGAGACUCACAACUUCACUGGAGAAACUAGCCAAAUAAUAAUAACAAUGGCUUUGUCACUAUCUGACACAGGCCCUCUUUGUCCCUUGUAAUGGGUGACAGUGACAGGUCCAUGGAGCUGUGUGCUAAGGUGUGUACACUCCUGAAAUGGUGAUGACUUGAUACAUGCAUCCCACUAGUGAACACAAGGAUCUAGUAGCAAACAGGACAUUUGGGAUAGAGGUAGAGUUUAAAAAAAAAUGAUACGAAUAUAUGAAGGAAGUAAGAAAUGGUGGUGACCAGCACUCGGGAGGCAGAGGCAGGUGGAUCUCUGUGAGUUCGAGGCCAGCCUGGUCUCCAGAGUGACUGCCAGGAUAGGCUCCAAAGCUACACAGAGAAACCCUGUCUCGAGGAAAAAAAAAAGAAAAAAAGAAGACAUCAUCUUCCUGAGUGCUGGGAUUAAAGGUGUGUGCCACCAACACCCGGCUUAAAAAAAAAAUCUUAAAGACCGUGUUUUGGAUAAUGGACUUUCGUCUGCUAUCAUCAGUGACAGUCCUUGCUAAAUAUGGAUUAUGAAUUGUUUCAUAUUGUACUUGUUAGAAUUCUUUACCAGCCAUGAUAGUGUGAGAAUAAAAAAAUUGAAGAACUACAUCAGCCUUAAAGUAUUAAACCAAUAUUUUUGUUGUUGUUGUUUCAA